This 460-nucleotide ribosomal RNA is filed under the name uncultured bacterium. Its description in RNAcentral is "partial 16S ribosomal RNA". It matches the Rfam family "Bacterial small subunit ribosomal RNA", at positions 338 to 795 of the family's 1533-position model. The record is from RNAcentral.
CCUACGGGAGGCUGCAGUGAGGAAUAUUUGUCAAUGGACGAGAGUCUGAACCAGCCAAGUAGCGUGAAGGAUGACUGCCCUAUGGGUUGUAAACUUCUUUUAUAUGGGAAUAAAACAGGGUAUGCAUACCCUCUUGUAUGUACCAUCUGAAUAAGGAUCGGCUAACUCCGUGCCAGCAGCCGCGGUAAUACGGAGGAUCCGAGCUUUAUCCGGAUUUAUUGGGUUUAAAGGGAGCGUAGGUGGAUUGUUAAGUCAGUUGUGAAAGUUUGCGGCUCAACCGUAAAAUUGCAGUUGAAACUGGCAGUCUAGAGUACAGUAGAGGUAGGCGGAAUUCGUGGUGUAGCGGUGAAAUGCGUAGAUAUCACGAAGAACUCCGAUUGCGAAGGCAGCUCACUGGACUGCAACUGACACUGAUGCUCGAAAGUGUGGGUAGCAAACAGGAUUAGAUACCCCAGUAGUC